This 621-nucleotide ribosomal RNA is filed under the name fungal sp. APA-2013. RNAcentral describes it as "eukaryotic LSU rRNA". The stretch from base 240 to 392 matches the Rfam family "5.8S ribosomal RNA". Lineage: Eukaryota; Fungi. The record is from RNAcentral.
UCAUUUAGAGGAAGUAAAAGUCGUAACAAGGUUUCCGUAGGUGAACCUGCGGAAGGAUCAUUACCGAGUGAGGGCCCUCUGGGUCCAACCUCCCACCCGUGUUUAUUUUACCUUGUUGCUUCGGCGGGCCCGCCUUAACUGGCCGCCGGGGGGCUCACGCCCCCGGGCCCGCGCCCGCCGAAGACACCCUCGAACUCUGUCUGAAGAUUGAAGUCUGAGUGAAAAUAUAAAUUAUUUAAAACUUUCAACAACGGAUCUCUUGGUUCCGGCAUCGAUGAAGAACGCAGCGAAAUGCGAUACGUAAUGUGAAUUGCAAAUUCAGUGAAUCAUCGAGUCUUUGAACGCACAUUGCGCCCCCUGGUAUUCCGGGGGGCAUGCCUGUCCGAGCGUCAUUGCUGCCCUCAAGCCCGGCUUGUGUGUUGGGCCCCGUCCUCCGAUUUCCGGGGGACGGGCCCGAAAGGCAGCGGCGGCACCGCGUCCGGUCCUCGAGCGUAUGGGGCUUUGUCACCCGCUCUGUAGGCCCGGCCGGCGCUUGCCGAUCAACCCAAAUUUUUAUCCAGGGUUGACCUCGGAUCAGGUAGGGAUACCCGCUGAACUUAAGCAUAUCAAUAAGCGGAGGAA